UACGAAGGGUGCUAGCGUUGUUCGGAAUUACUGGGCGUAAAGCGCGCGUAGGCGGCUAUACAAGUCAGAGGUGAAAUCCCACGGCUCAACCGUGGAACUGCCUUUGAAACUGUAUAGCUGGAGUGUGUGAGGGGAUGGCGGAAUUCCUAAUGUAGAGGUGAAAUUCGUAGAUAUUAGGAGGAACACCGGUGGCGAAGGCGGCCAUCUGGCACACAACUGACGCUGAGGCGCGAAAGCGUGGGGAUCAAACAGG
RNAcentral lists this ribosomal RNA (253 nucleotides) under uncultured bacterium. RNAcentral's name for it is "partial 16S ribosomal RNA". It matches the Rfam family "Bacterial small subunit ribosomal RNA", at positions 524 to 776 of the family's 1533-position model. The record is from RNAcentral.